This 257-nucleotide ribosomal RNA is filed under the name uncultured bacterium. RNAcentral's name for it is "partial 16S ribosomal RNA". It matches the Rfam family "Bacterial small subunit ribosomal RNA", at positions 524 to 777 of the family's 1533-position model. The record is from RNAcentral.
UACGUAGGGUGCAAGCGUUGUCCGGAAUUAUUGGGCGUAAAGAGCUCGUAGGCGGUUUGUCGCGUCUGCUGUGAAAAACCCGAGGCUCAACCUCGGGCCUGCAGUGGGUACGGGGCAGACUAGAGUGCGGUAGGGGGAGAUUGGAAUUCCUGGUGUAGCGGUGGAAUGCGCAGAUAUCAGGAGGAACACCAAUGGCGAAGGCAGAUCUCUGGGCCGUAACUGACGCUGAGGAGCGAAAGCAUGGGGAGCGAACAGGA